CGGCUACGAGGACGACGCUGGCGGCGUGCUUAACACAUGCAAGUCGAGCGGGGAUAUUGAGGAAGCUUGCUUCUGAGAUAUUCUAGCGGCGGACGGGUGAGUAACGCGUGAGCAACCUUUCUCUCAGUGGGGAAUAACACAGGGAAACUUGUACUAAUACCGCAUGGGACCACGACCUGGCAUCUGGUUGGGGUGAAAGAUUUAUCGCUGAGAGGUGGGCUCGCGUCCGAUUAGGUAGUUGGUGAGGUAACGGCCCCACCAAGCCGACGAUCGGUAGCCGACCUGAGAGGGUGAUCGGCCACAUUGGGACUGAGACACGGCCCAAACUCCUACGGGAGGCAGCAGUGGGGAAUAUUGGGCAAUGGGGGAAACCCUGACCCAGCAACGCCGCGUGGAGGAAGAAGGUUUUCGGAUCGUAAACUCCUGUCCUCAGGGAAGAGCAGAAGACGGUACCUGAGGAGGAAGCCCCGGCUAACUACGUG
This 482-nucleotide ribosomal RNA is filed under the name uncultured bacterium. RNAcentral's name for it is "bacterial SSU rRNA". It matches the Rfam family "Bacterial small subunit ribosomal RNA", at positions 33 to 507 of the family's 1533-position model. The record is from RNAcentral.